Molecule: ribosomal RNA, 554 nt
Filed under: uncultured bacterium
Lineage: Bacteria
Description: partial 16S ribosomal RNA
Rfam family: Bacterial small subunit ribosomal RNA
Source: RNAcentral
UAGGGAAUCUUCCACAAUGGACGCAAGUCUGAUGGAGCAACGCCGCGUGAGUGAAGAAGGUUUUCGGACCGUAAAGCUCUGUUGUUGGUGAAGAAGGAUAGAGGUAGUAACUGGCCUUUAUUUGACGGUAAUCAACCAGAAAGUCACGGCUAACUACGUGCCAGCAGCCGCGGUAAUCGUAGGUGGCAAGCGUUGUCCGGAUUUAUUGGGCGUAAAGCGAGCGCAGGCGGAAGAAUAAGUCUGAUGUGAAAGCCCUCGGCUUAACCGAGGAAUUGCAUCGGAAACUGUUUUUCUUGAGUGCAGAAGAGGAGAGUAGAACUCCAUGUGUAGCGGUGGAAUGCGUAGAUAUAUGGAAGAAUACCAGUGGCGAAGGCGGCUCUCUGGUCUGCAACUGACGCUGAGGCUCGAAAGCAUGGGUAGCGAACAGGAUUAGAUACCCUGGUGGUCCAUGCCGUAAACGAUGAGUGCUAAGUGUUGGGAGGCUUCCGCCUCUCAGUGCUGCAGCUAACGCAUUAAGCACUCCGCCUGGGGGAGUACGACCGCAAGGUUGAAAC